AAUCGAAGCAGUGAACUUAAGCCCCAGUAAACGGCGGCCGUAACUAUAACGGUCCUAAGGUAGCGAAAUUCCUUGUCGGGUAAGUUCCGACCCGCACGAAAGGCGUAACGAUUUGGGCACUGUCUCAACAACAGACUCGGUGAAAUUGUAAUUCCGGUGAAGAUGCCGGAUACCUGCGACAGGACGGAAAGACCCCAUGGAGCUUUACUGUAGCUUGACAUUGGGUCUUGGUACUACAUGUACAGGAUAGGUGGGAGGCUUUGAAACCAGGACGCCAGUUUUGGCGGAGCCAUCCUUGGGAUACCACCCUUGUAGUACUGGGACUCUAACCAUAGGCCAUGAAUCUGGUCUUGGGACACUGUCAGGUGGGCAGUUUGACUGGGGCCGUCGCCUCCCAAAAGGUAACGGAGGCGCUCAAAGGGUCGCUCAGUACGGUCGGAAAUCGUACGUAGGUGGUAAAGGCAAAAGAGGGCUUGAUUGCAAGACAUACAGGUCGAGCAAGGAUGAAAAUCGGACUGAGUGAUCCGGUGGUUCUGCGUGGAAGGGCCAUCGCUCAACGGAUAAAAGCUACCCUGGGGAUAACAGGCUUAUCUCCCCCAAGAGUCCACAUCGACGGGGAGGUUUGGCACCUCGAUGUCGGCUCAUCACAUCCUGGGGCUGUAGUAGGUCCCAAGGGUUGGGC
RNAcentral lists this ribosomal RNA (682 nucleotides) under Clostridioides difficile. RNAcentral describes it as "bacterial LSU rRNA". It matches the Rfam family "Bacterial large subunit ribosomal RNA", at positions 1897 to 2577 of the family's 2925-position model. Lineage: Bacteria; Bacillati; Bacillota; Clostridia; Peptostreptococcales; Peptostreptococcaceae. The record is from RNAcentral.